RNAcentral lists this ribosomal RNA (376 nucleotides) under uncultured organism. Its description in RNAcentral is "partial 16S ribosomal RNA". It matches the Rfam family "Bacterial small subunit ribosomal RNA", at positions 527 to 896 of the family's 1533-position model. The record is from RNAcentral.
GUAGGUGGCAAGCGUUGUCCGGAAUUAUUGGGCGUAAAGCGCGCGCAGGUGGGUUCUUUAAGUCUGAUGUGAAAGCCCCCGGGCGUCAACCGGGGAGGGUCAUUGGAAACUGGGGAACUUGAGUGCAGGAGAGGAAAGUGGAAUUCCACGUGUAGCGGUGAAAUGCGUAGAUAUGUGGAGGAACACCAGUGGCGAAGGCGACUUUCUGGCCUGUAACUGACACUGAGGCGCGAAAGCGUGGGGAGCAAACAGGAUUAGAUACCCUGGUAGUCCACGCCGUAAACGAUGAGUGCUAAGUGUUCGGGGGGUUUCCGCCCCUCAGUGCUGCAGCUAACGCAUUAAGCACUCCGCCUGGGGAGUACGGUCGCAAAGACUG